CGGAAGUCAGAAGGAGCGCUAAGAAAUUUGAUUAGAGAAAAAGUGAGAAAGUCAGAAGAAGUGACGAAAAAUUGGGAUAGAGAAAAAAUUAGAAAAAGUAUUAGUAAAUCAGAAAAACCAGUAUCCUUCCAAAACACCAAUGAGGUUAGUCCUAUGUCGGAGCUUUGUUCAGAGUUCGAAAAUUGCAAGUGAAAUCCCCCGUGCCCGAAGCUCUCCAGGAGCCAAAUAUAAGGACAGAGAAUAGCAUUCAAGGCCUGCAUUCAAGUCUGGUGAAUGGAGAUUCUUGGAAAUCUCAAGAGAAAUCAAAGCUUGAGACUCCCGACAUGUGUUCAGCCAAUGAACUGCCUUCAUCAUCUACUAAUAUGCCUUAUUUAUGUGUCGAAAAGUCUUGCCUGGUUUUUGCAAAAAGAAUUGGUGACAUUCUCCUUUCAAAUCAAAGCAACAAUAACUCGAAAAAAUUCGCCUCAGAAAAUGCGCUGAAAACCUAUCUACUCCAAGAAGUAAAACAUAUCAGCUCUCUAAUCGGCAACUAUAUUGAUGACUCAGCAUUCAACGGUGUCCAGUUUUCCCUGCUACAUCACAGAUUGGCAACAAGGAUUGUCAGUUACCUUAUAGCUCAUCCAGAAAAGCUUAGCGACGUGUGUAAGGAUUUAGAAGGACUACUAGACACUGACAGCAGUGAGCCAAUGGAAAUUUGUUCAACGCCACCAUCACGAAACAGUAGAUUGAAGAUGCAAGAUGAAACAGUAUUACAAUGUUUAAUCCAGCAGUGUUCGACUAUUCUAAGUGCGUUUCUUGGGAAGGACUCGGGCGACGCAACCCUCUCUGCCAACUGCUCUCUCUUAGCUGAAGCGGAAGUUCAAGAUCAGUGGGAGUUAUCGGAGCAUUGCCAGUGUGCCUUUAUCAAAGGUUCCAUUUCACCACCGAGACGACAUCGGAAUAGAAUGCGGAAUAGUUUUAAAUCCAAUCAAAGGCCCGUAUCAGCUCUCAUUUCAUCUCUUGGAAAAGAUCCAGAAGAGAAAUCUAACUGCGGAAGUGAAGAGCAAAGUGGUUUGAGCUCACCACCUGGGUUUGAAUUCUCUGAAAGCAGCGGCGAGUCUGAAGAGGAGUGGUACGAGCCUUCAGCACCAACGGAUACAGUUGACGCAAUUUCCACUGUAAAAACGAAAAAUGACGACGUAGAGCCCAUGAGUGUGCCAGCUUUGGCUCCUGAACUCUAUAUUGACGAUUCUGGCCCUUGCAAGUUGGACCUUGACGUUUUCGAAGCCAUCGGAGACAUUGAAUUAGAUUUAACAAAGUACCCUGUUACCAAUUACUGGAAAUUUUGCAUCACAAGUCAUUCUUUGGAAGAAAGAGAAAAGUGGAAAAAAAGGAGACCUGACAUGUAGCCCCUGUUUGAUUGCCGCAACAAUUUUACCAAUCACCUCUAUUUUUUACCAAGCUGCUCAUCCUUUUUACCCUCUUUUUUAAGAUUGAUCUGUCGGAUUGUGUGAUAAACCUUUUGUAAUAUCUUCCUUUUGGAUAAGCCCUACUCUGUUGAACCAAUGGACUGUUACUUACUUUUAUUGUUUUACUUGUUUUAGGAAAUUUGUACGUUUGUAUUUGUUCAUUAAGAAAAUUGAUAAUUACCAAUAAAAUAUUUUUUUUAACUUUCCAAGGAAGCAAA
Molecule: long non-coding RNA, 1666 nt
Filed under: Bemisia tabaci
Lineage: Eukaryota; Metazoa; Arthropoda; Insecta; Hemiptera; Aleyrodidae
Description: lncRNA ENSSSA2NGG000746
Source: RNAcentral